Molecule: ribosomal RNA, 876 nt
Filed under: uncultured cyanobacterium
Lineage: Bacteria; Bacillati; Cyanobacteriota
Description: bacterial SSU rRNA
Rfam family: Bacterial small subunit ribosomal RNA
Source: RNAcentral
AGUUGUAUCCUGGCUCAGGAUGAACGCUGGCGGUAUGCUUUACACAUGCAAGUCGUACGAGAGUUUUUAACUCAAGUGGCGGACGGGUGAGUAACACGUAAGAAUUUGCCUUUAGGAGGGGGAUAACAACUGGAAACGGUUGCUAAUACCCCAUAUGCUUUAUGCUUUCGAGUGAAAAGUGAAAUGGUUUUUCCGCCUAAAGAGAAGCUUGCGGCUGAUUAGCUUGUUGGUGAGGUAAUGGCUCACCAAGGCGACGAUCAGUAUCUGGUUUGAGAGGACGAUCAGACACACUGGAACUGAGACACGGUCCAGACUCCUACGGGAGGCAGCAGUGGGGAAUUUUCCGCAAUGGGCGAAAGCCUGACGGAGCAAUACCGCGUGAGGGAUGACGGCCUAUGGGUUGUAAACCUCUUUUCUCAGGGAGGAAUCAAUGACGUGUACCUGAGGAAUAAGCAUCGGCUAACUCCGUGCCAGCAGCCGCGGUAAGACGGAGGAUGCAAGUGUUAUCCGGAAUCACUGGGCGUAAAGCGUCUGUAGGUGGUCAAAUAAGUCAACUGUUAAAUCUUGAGGCUCAACCUCAAAAUCGCAGUCGAAACUAUUAGACUAGAGUAUAGUAGGGGUAAAGGGAAUUUCCAGUGGAGCGGUGAAAUGCGUAGAGAUUGGAAAGAACACCGAUGGCGAAGGCACUUUACUGGGCUAUUACUAACACUGAGAGACGAAAGCUAGGGUAGCAAAUGGGGAUUAGAUACCCCAGUAGUCCUAGCCGUAAACAAUGGAUACUAGAUGUUGAACAGAUCGACCUGUGCAGUAUCAAAGCUAACGCGUUAAGUAUCCCGCCUGGGAAGUAUGCUCGCAAGAGUGAAACUCAAAGGAAUU